This 498-nucleotide ribosomal RNA is filed under the name uncultured bacterium. Its description in RNAcentral is "partial 16S ribosomal RNA". It matches the Rfam family "Bacterial small subunit ribosomal RNA", at positions 28 to 507 of the family's 1533-position model. The record is from RNAcentral.
GAUGAACGCUGGCGGCGUGCCUAAUACAUGCAAGUCGAGCGAACUUUUGGGAGCUUGCUCCCUAAAGUUAGCGGCGGACGGGUGAGUAACACGUGGGUAACCUGCCUGUAAGACUGGGAUAACUUCAGGAAACCGGAGCUAAUACCGGAUAACAUUAAAGACCAAAUUGCCUUCAAUUAAAAGGUGGAUUUUAUCUACCACUUACAGAUGGACCCGCGGCGCAUUAGCUAGUUGGUGAGGUAACGGCUCACCAAGGCGACGAUGCGUAGCCGACCGGAGAGGGUGAUCGGCCACACUGGGACUGAGACACGGCCCAGACGCAUACGGGAGGCAGCAGUAGGGAAUCUUCCGCAAUGGACGAAAGUCUGACGGAGCAACGCCGCGUGAGCGAAGAAGGCCUUCGGGUCGUAAAGCUCUGUUGUUAGGGAAGAAAAAGUAUCGUUCGAAUAGGGCGGUACCUUGACGGUACCUAACCAGAAAGCCACGGCUAACUACGUG